Molecule: long non-coding RNA, 204 nt
Filed under: Gossypium barbadense (sea-island cotton)
Lineage: Eukaryota; Viridiplantae; Streptophyta; Magnoliopsida; Malvales; Malvaceae
Description: long non-coding RNA (GBAR_LNC007237)
Source: RNAcentral
UGAUUAUGGACAAAAAUGGGCAUGAAUAGGAAAAUUUUUAUAGAAAAGCCUUAAGGGCAUUUUUGUCAUUUGGUUAAUAAAAGAAUAAAAAGGGAAAAUAAAGCCAAAAAUUUGUCCAUCUUCUCCAACCUUUGGCCAAAAUUCUCAAGCUCUCCAUAGCUAGGGUUUUGUCAUCUUUCAAGCUUAAUUGUAAGUACAUCCUAG